This 593-nucleotide long non-coding RNA is filed under the name Homo sapiens (human). Its description in RNAcentral is "HSALNT0010144". Lineage: Eukaryota; Metazoa; Chordata; Mammalia; Primates; Hominidae. The record is from RNAcentral.
AGUCCAGUGACCAGUACCGCCGCUCCUGAUGGUGGGGAGCAUAUGGUACUGCUGUGAAUAGUUUUGCUCUCACUGCUGUGAAAUCCCACGCCUUCCUACAGAAUGUGUUUGGAGGAGCAAAUGGUUUCAACACACAUGGGAACAAGAUAUAUUCAUGGAAUGUGCCUUUGAACCUGCAUUCAAAAGAACUCAGACAGAGUAGGAGAAUGGACCAGAUGACCUCUAUAGGUGUCUCUCCACAGGCAGAAAAAUCAAACGCCCAGAGAGGUCAAGAUGUCUGCAAAGAGACACAGAGUGAUGCAAUGGAAAUCCUGUGUGGAGGUCUCCAGAAGGCUAAUUUCUGAAGCAGUGUUCUAUCCACAUGACCGUGCUGCUGCUCAUUAAGAUGAACAAUGGAAAGUAGAAAGAAAUCUCCUCCAAGGUAUUAGAAUCAUGUACAGUUUCAUAUUUGACUAAAAAAUUAUUUCCCCAGCCUGUUUUCUCAACACUAAGGAUAUGCAGAAAAGUAUCACUUGCAUUCAUCAUGAAAAUUACAGAAAAAUGACUGAAACUACUGAGAACAUUAUUAAAUAAAACAUAUACUUAUUAUCUGU